GCCUGGGUGGCUCAGUCGCUUGAGCAUCCGACUUUGGCUCAGGUCAUAAUCUCAGUUUGUGGGUUCGAGCCCCACAUCGGGCU
Molecule: transfer RNA, 83 nt
Filed under: Felis catus (domestic cat)
Lineage: Eukaryota; Metazoa; Chordata; Mammalia; Carnivora; Felidae
Rfam family: tRNA
About the family: Transfer RNA (tRNA) molecules are approximately 80 nucleotides in length. Their secondary structure includes four short double-helical elements and three loops (D, anti-codon, and T loops).
Source: Rfam by way of RNAcentral